This 317-nucleotide long non-coding RNA is filed under the name Mus spicilegus (steppe mouse). RNAcentral describes it as "lncRNA (ENSMSIG00000013231.1)". The record is from RNAcentral. Lineage: Eukaryota; Metazoa; Chordata; Mammalia; Rodentia; Muridae.
CUGGAAGACGAGGAAUACACCUUCUGGCUGCACCCAGACUGUCAGCCACCAAAGAAGCUCAUAAACACAAGGACUCCGAAAGGCAUCCAGCCAACAUGACCUCAGAAGUAUUUACAUACUGUGAUGGAGACAGUGAUAUAAUUCAGUUUCUGUAUCACUGUAUUUUCUGCCAAUUACUACUCCAGUGUGUCUCUCGGGGAUGUGGAAAUUUUUGACAAGAUGAGGAGGAAAAAAAAAUCAAUUCUCUUUUGAGGAAUCAAUGUAUUAAUACCCAAGUUAUUGCCGCCAAUUGGAAACCCAUUGUCAUCUUAUUUCUG